RNAcentral lists this ribosomal RNA (404 nucleotides) under uncultured bacterium. RNAcentral's name for it is "bacterial SSU rRNA". It matches the Rfam family "Bacterial small subunit ribosomal RNA", at positions 355 to 775 of the family's 1533-position model. The record is from RNAcentral.
UAGGGAAUAUUGCAAAAUGGGCGAAAGCCCGAUGCAGCAACGCCGCGUGGGCGAUGAAGGCCUUCAGGUCGUAAAGCCCUUUUUGAGGGGAUGAGGAAGGACAGUACCCUCAGAAUAAGCCUCGGCUAACUACGUGCCAGCAGCCGCGGUAAAACGUAGGAGGCGAGCGUUAUCCGGAUUUACUGGGCGUAAAGCGCGUGCAGGCGGAUUGGAGAGUUGGAUGUGAAAGCUCCCGGCUUAACUGGGAGAGGUCGUUCAAUACUUCCAGUCUUGAGUGCCGUAGAGGGACGUGGAAUUCCGAGUUUAGUGGUGAAAUGCGUAGAUAUCCGGAGGAACACCAGUGGCGAAAGCGGCUUCCUGGACUGUAACUGACGCUCAGACGCGGAAGCUAGGGUAGCAAACGG